UCUCCCCUCACCAUCUCAACAGAUUCUCCCCAAGUUUUCAAAUCACUCGGAUGUUUGGUUGAAUUCUGUAAUUACAGAAGCCUAUCCUCUUUCGAAAUUAAUACGUAUGAUUUCUCUGUGUUAAUAAUUACACCAAUUAUCAUUGGCAUAUAUCACAAGACAAACUAUUCUUUAUGUUCGGAGUCAUAUAUAAUAUCUUUCUUUGACUGAUCUUAUCAUC
This 220-nucleotide long non-coding RNA is filed under the name Elaeis guineensis (African oil palm). Its description in RNAcentral is "long non-coding RNA (EGUI_LNC006388)". The record is from RNAcentral. Lineage: Eukaryota; Viridiplantae; Streptophyta; Magnoliopsida; Arecales; Arecaceae.